RNAcentral lists this ribosomal RNA (447 nucleotides) under uncultured bacterium. Its description in RNAcentral is "bacterial SSU rRNA". It matches the Rfam family "Bacterial small subunit ribosomal RNA", at positions 355 to 825 of the family's 1533-position model. The record is from RNAcentral.
UGGGGAAUCUUGGACAAUGGGCGCAAGCCUGAUCCAGCCAUGCCGCGUGGAUGAUGAAGGCCUUAGGGUUGUAAAAUCCUUUCGUUGGGGACGAUAAUGACGGUACCCAAAGAAGAAGCACCGGCUAACUCUGUGCCAGCAGCCGCGGUAAUACAGAGGGUGCAAGCGUUAAUCGGAAUUACUGGGCGUAAAGCGUGCGUAGGUGGUUACUUAAGUCAAAUGUGAAAGCCCCGGGCUCAACCUGGGAACUGCACGUGAUACUGGGUAACUAGAGUAUGGUAGAGGAUGGCGGAAUUUCCGGUGUAGCGGUGAAAUGCGUAGAUAUCGGAAGGAACACCUGUGGCGAAGGCGGUCUACCAGAACACGUUCGACGGUGAGGGAUGAAAGCUGGGGGAGCAAACCGGAUUAGAUACCCAUGUAGUCCCUGAGCGGGCUGGCAAGGCGCAU